AAAAAUUUUACUCCAGAUAUGCCAAAUAGCAUAUCAGGACGACCAAGGUUUGUGCUUUUGCUUUGCCAGUGCUUUUUCAGUCUCUAUAAAAAUAUUGCAGAUGAGCCUAACUUCUGCAAUCACAACAUUUUUUUCUGGCUGAAAUCAUCAAUUAAGUUAUGUGAUGUAUGGACAUGGUCACAUGGAUGCAAUUAUGGUAGUUUUGGGUAGCGCUGCACAAAAAUUAACCAAACUGAAUUACUUCAAUUCAUUCUAAACCAAAAACAAUUGUUUUGAUACAUGAUUUGGAUUGGUUUUAAAAUAUAAUCAAACCAACUUUUUUAUUUGGUUUUGCUUUUGGUUUUGGGACAUGAAAAAAUAAUUGAAACCGAACCGAACCGUGAAUGUACUAAAACUACUCCAUUUUGAAUUAUAUAAAUAUUUUUGUUAUAUUAUUUUGCUCUUCUUCUACAUGAUCUAAAACUCUACAUGCAUAAAAUGAAAUUUUAAAUUAUUUCAAAAAAAAAAAAGAAAUUCUACAUAAUUUGGUCCGUGAUACACAAAAUUAAUAUGCAUGUUCAUGUUGUUAUACUUAAUAGAAUGUUUUCAAUUUUUUACUUUAUGUUAUAAACCUACCAAACUGAAUUUUAAUGAUUUGGUUAAGAUAAGUUUUAACUUUCUGUGAUAUGGUUAUGGUUUAUUCAUUUACAAACUGACUGUAUUGGUUUGAUUUGAAAUAUCUUCCUCAAACUGACCAAAUUGAACCAUGAACAACUUUAAUUUUGUGCACUUUGUUUUGUCUAUGUUCUUAUGAAGAUUGUAAGAAUGGAAAUCAUGCAUUAUGAAUUAAUGUGAUGCAACUGUAUAUGCAAUGAUGGGUGGUGCUUUUUUCUCAUAUUAGGGCUUUCAUCAUUCCUGCUGUAUUUUUAUGUGCUAGUCUAUUGUCUGUCCACUUCCUUUAUGGUUUCCUAAUAAGAUAUGAUUGAUUGUAGUAUGACAAUGAACAGCAAGAAUUGUGAAUUUUGCUUCGUGUAAGAUUUUGUUAACACAUGCGUAAUCUAGAGAUAGCUAUGGAUCAUGGAAAAGAUAACAAAAAAUCCAGUACACCUAAAGAGCCAUGAUGAAUAGCUACUGUAACUAGCAUUAUCAGUAUUUGUUAUGAGCAGUGGUGGAACAUACUUAAUACCCAAUUUGGCAUGGAAGUAAUGAACUUGUGCUAAGGAAUAUGGGAGUGCUAAGGAAUAUGGGCUAUAGUCUAUUCAGGGUGUAUAUUAGUUGGUUUUGUACAUCACAGAUAUAUGCAUGGCCUUGAUCUACUAUUUCUCUUCCUAAGGACAAAUGCCAGUAAGGCCAGGUUUUGGUUAUGCAUACAAACGCUUUACUGGGAUUGAAUAUGCAUUUGCUGGGAUUGAAUAUGAUGACUCAUGAUCCUUGCAACUUGUACCCUCAUUUUAUUUAUUUUAAGUUGUUUGCAUCACUAGUUUUAGCUAUAUUUUUUUUUUAUCCAAUAAUGGUUUGUAUGUUUAUGUCUUGUGUGAGAAUUGAUUUGAUUUGAGGCCAUAUGACUGAAACAGCAGAAUCUACUAUUGAUUUGAUGGUAAGGAUAAUGAAUGUUAGUAGUAUACCCAAAGAUUGCCAGUCCUCUUGAUUAUCUUGAAUCUCUUGAUAUUUUGUUGCUAUAGUACAUAUGUACUAAAAUAACGCUUGUAAUGAAUGAGUAUCAGUUGUCUGAUGCAUUUGUUUACAGGCAGGAGGAUGCUCAGGAGUUUUUGAGU
This 1754-nucleotide unclassified non-coding RNA is filed under the name Hevea brasiliensis (rubber tree). The record is from RNAcentral. Lineage: Eukaryota; Viridiplantae; Streptophyta; Magnoliopsida; Malpighiales; Euphorbiaceae.